CCUACGGGUGACUGCAGUGGGGAAUAUUGCACAAUGGGGGAAACCCUGAUGCAGCGACGCCGCGUGAGUGAAGAAGUAUCUCGGUACGUAAAGCUCUAUCAGCAGGGAAGAAAAUGACGGUACCUGACUAAGAAGCCCCUGCUAACUACGUGCCAGCAGCCGCGGGAAUACGUCGGGGGCGAGCGUUAUCCGGAUUUACUGGGUGUAAAGGGAGCGGAGACGGCAGCACAAGUCUGGAGUGAAAUCCCGGGGCUUAACCCCGGAACUGCAUUGGAAACUGUGCGGCUGGAGUGCAGGAGGGGUGAGCGGAAUUCCUAGUGUAGCGGUGAAAUGCGUAGAUAUUAGGAGGAACAACGGUGGCGAAGGCGGCUUACUGGACUGUAACUGACGUUGAGGCUCGAAAGCGUGGGGAGCAAACAGGAUUAGAUACCCGAGUAGUC
This 440-nucleotide ribosomal RNA is filed under the name uncultured bacterium. RNAcentral describes it as "partial 16S ribosomal RNA". It matches the Rfam family "Bacterial small subunit ribosomal RNA", at positions 338 to 795 of the family's 1533-position model. The record is from RNAcentral.